Molecule: long non-coding RNA, 5925 nt
Organism: Octopus bimaculoides (California two-spot octopus)
Lineage: Eukaryota; Metazoa; Mollusca; Cephalopoda; Octopoda; Octopodidae
Source: RefSeq, a predicted model, not a curated record
UAAAUUAAUGUAUUAAAAGAAAAUAUAAUUACCACGUUUAAAUAUUAAUAAUACACUUUAAAAAAACGAUAUGCCAACUUGGAAUUUAUCAUUCGGUCGAAUCUAUUGAUGUGGCAGAAAUAGAGUAAAAUAUUUUCAUGAUAAUGUUCGCUAAAAUAAUUUCUUGAAGUGCGUUUAUCAUAAUUUACGACGCAAAUAAAAUACAUUGGAGAAUAAUAGAUUUGUCAUUUUCAUUUAUCACAAUCUCCAAGACGUGUCAGCAAAAUAAUUUUAUGCUGUUCUUGGUCUUCCGUAGAUAAAGUAAACAACUACAACAACUACUAUAACAGCUUAGCCUCGGACUCUCCUCGGAAACUUUCAUACCGGUAUUUUUACUGUCGUUAUUUUCUUGUCAAAUAAUUGUGGAAAGAUGAAAGGCUGAUAAUUUUGGCAGGAUUUAUACUCAGAACUGAAGGUAUUUGAAUUGAUCACCUGUUGUUCAGUUUAGUUCCAGAAACUUGUAAUAACCUCUGGUAAUAGACAGUGUUUUUCAGAACUCACAAGUGAAGACAGCUUAUAUCAAUAGAUUUCCAGUUUUGUGGAAUAUGUUUGAAUUUCACAAUAUUGUAUGAAAAAAAAGGAAACCUAGUUACAAACUAAGAGUUAAUGUUAUGGGAUUAUACAGUUCAGCCAAAGUCAUUUUCUUAAUAAAAAAGAAAAGACUGAGAGUUUGUCAAUUGUAAUUACGUUUGUGAAAAAUUGAUUAAAUUGAAGACCCUAGUUCUAAAAGUGCUUUAGUCACACGAAAAUUAAUGUGACUUAAGCACUUUUAGCAAUAGGGUCUUCAAUUUUUAUUUAAUGUUAAAAAAAUUGACCAAAAGCUUUCUACUGCAUAUUUGAGUGCACAUGGAAAUUUGCAAUGGAAAAGAUUCUUUUCACAGCGAAUUUGAAGGAAAAGAUUUACCCUUGAGAUCACAUGAGAAAAGUAAUGAGAGGUCAUCAACAGAAGAAUUACAUUUUCAUUGUGAGACAUGUGGCAAAGACUUUUUAAGAAACAUCAAUCUUACAAGACAUAUGAAAAUACACUCUGGGGAAAGGCCAUUUUUCUGUGGGGUUUGUGGGAAAGACUUUCUAGAGAGCUCCAAUUUAACUAAACAUAUGAGAGUACAUACGGGAGAGAAACCUUUCCACUGUGAAAUUUGUGGGAGGAAUUUUUCUCACAGUUCUAAUCUCACCCAACACAUGAGGACACAUACUGGUGAAAGACCUUUCUCUUGUGGAGUUUGUGGGAGGGAUUUUUCAGAUGGUUCUACUCUCAACAAACAUCUUAGGAUACAUACUGGGGUAAAACCUUUCCUCUGUGAAGUAUGUGGCAAAGACUUUUCUCAAAAUUCUUACCUCACACAACAUCUGAGAACACACACUGGAGAGAGACCCUUUCAUUGUGAGAUAUGUGAAAAGGAUUUUUCUCAAAAUUCACAUCUAACAAAACACAUGCGAAUACACACUGGAGAAAGACCAUUUAGUUGUCAAAUGUGUGGAAAGGGUUUUUCACAGAAUUCCCAUCUAACAAAGCAUAUGAGGACACAUAAUGAAGAAAAACCAUUUCACUGCGAACUAUGUGGGAAAAAUUUUUCCCAUAAUUCUAGCCUUAAUGUACAUAUGAGAUCACACACAGGAGAUAAAUCUUUUGAGUUUCAGAUAUGUGAAAAACUUUUCCAGAUGGUUCCAAUUUGAAUGAUAAAUGAACAUGUGAUUUUGUCAGGUUUUUUAGGGAUGAAAGUUGUGCUUUCAAAUGUUUUAGGAGAGAUCUUUCUGUCUUUUUUUUUUUAAAUAUUUGGAGUUUUUUUUCACUUGUCCAUUAAAUUACACAUGACAAUACUUAUCACACAUAUAUAUGUUAUUGUAAAUCAUGCUCAAAUUAAAACAUGUACAUAUGCACAUACAUAAUCUGUGUACAGAGAGACUAACCAAACAAGACAAAAACAAUUUUAAUGAAAGACACAUAUACGCACACACUUAGCUGCUCACACACAUUCUCAAAAGUGUAAAUAUAUAAUAAUAAACCUUAGUAUACCCAGGUUUAACAGAUCUGGAGCAAUGAGGUGAUGAGCUCAAGGAUACUGACAAAGGGACUCUGACAAAUCAAAUGAUUGAUUAAUUGUUCAAAUGUUUAGUUAAACAAUCAAUUAGUUAAUUGGUUAAUUAGUUACUAGAAAAAAUUAAAAGAAGUAAAAUAUAAUGUGAGCAUGCAUUUUUAUUGGCAAAAUGAACCUCCCAAGACACAACAUAUUUUCAUUUUAUCAUCAAGUUAUAGAUACUUAAGUUUUCUAUUGCUCAACUCAAAAGAUAUAUGAGCAAUGUAUUCUUUUGCUUUUUUCAUUGUUAAAAUGCACACAGGGUGCAUCAGCUAUUUGAGAUCAAAAUCUUAAUUUAAAGAAAACAAAAAUUAUUUAUUAGAAAAAACAAAUAUAUUUUCAUAGAAUUUGGUACACAUUCUUACAUAUUUAUAGUGAAAGGCUAUUCAAUAAAGCUGCCAUCAGCCUCAAUUACUGCCUUGAUAUGGCUUCUGAAAUUUCUAAAUGCAUUGAUCAGGUGAUUAUUAUUCAUGUUGGCCAUAACAUCCUUAGGCCAACAGACAUCAACAAAUCCUUGGUAUCAUGGGCAGGUUUGUUGGCUUUCCUCUCAUGGUGCCCCAAAAGUAAUAGCCCAGAGAGUUUAAAUCAGGAGAGCUAGAAGGACAAAUAUUAGGAGUAACAUGAUUAUGAAAAUUUUUGGUCAUCCACUCCUGUGUUAUGCAAUCUGUAUGAAAGGGAGCAGAGUCUUGCUGGAACAUGUACACCUCCCCUAAGCAACUCUCUUGAUCCAAAGCUUGACAACUGUCUCUAUUGUCGCGAUGUCAGCUGCCACAUUAAUCUUAAUAUCUUGCAGGAAAAAGUGAGAAGGCAUGACAUGGCCCUCAUUUCUCAUGACUCCCAAAGACCUUCACAGAUGAUGGGAACUUGGUGUGCAUAACAGUGAGGACUUCAGUAGGGCUGGUACAGAGCUAUCUAUCAUUCUUCCUAUUUACUUUUGGAUUUUGGACAAAACUCUUCUCACCAGAGCAUGUUUGGCUCCUUGGGUUACUUGAGUUUGUUCAGCAAGUUCUUCAAUUGACUCAGAUAGUUCUCCUGGUUUCUAUCAGACAUGAACUGCUCUGUUCUCAUAAUAUAGGAUUUGUAUCUGUCUUUGUGCAUCACACAUCAAUCGUUGACUAUGGCACAUGAAAAUGAUUAGUAAUGGCCCUCAUUGACUUGCCAGGAUUGUCAUUGAUGAUGUCCUGGAUUUACUGGACAAACUUGAUUUUUCUGACAAUGUAUGACAGUCAAGAAUGUCUUUCUUUUGGCCACAGAAAAUAUUCCUGCUAAAAGCAAGGAGCUCUUUUCUUAUUUUAAACAUGAAGGACCUGGUGACAUUUAAGGUUUUAAUCUUAGAUCCCUGUAGUUGGCAGCUAGGGCAAUGAGAAUGGUAUGCCUUUUCAUUAUUUGCAGUAAAUUCAAAUUCUUCCAUGUUGAGGCUGAAAAAGAAGAGAGAUAUUUAGUUAAAGUCUGGGCCACUUAUUGUUAUUAAAAGUUUUCUUCUUAAAUAGCAGCACAUCUACAAAACAUUUGAAGAUAUUUUCAAUUUAUGAAUUGUAACUUCAUGUAUUUCUUACAUUUUAUUUAAAAUCUGUUUAUUCACAGAAUAUGCAAUGACCUAUAUACUCUCUUUUACUUGUUUCAGUCAUUUGACUGCGGCCAUGCUGGAGCACCACCAUUAGUCGAGCAAAUCGACCCCAGGACUUAUUCUUUGUAAGCCUAGUACUUAUUCUAUUGGUCUCUUUUGCCGAACCACUAAGUUACGGGGAUGCAAACACACCACCAUUGGUUGUCAAGCGAUGUUGGGGGGACAAACAGACAUACAAACAUAUACACACACAUACAUAUAUAUAUGCAUAUAUACGAAGGGCUUCUUUCAGUUUCCGUCUACCACAUCCACUCACAAGGCUUUGGUCGGCCCGAGGCUAUAGUAGAAGACACUUGCCCUAGGUGCCACGCAGUGGGAAUGAACCCAAAACCAUGUGGUUGGUAAGCAAGCUACUUACUACACAGCUACUCAUGCGAAUGCUUAUUAUUGAUUAUUAUUUUUUUCUUCCCCAUUUUAUAUCCUGGAACUGAUUCACAUUCCAGGUUUUUAACAUUUUUCUUGAAUAUCUAUUAUUUGGUAGUUUACCAAGUUGAUUCAUGGCCCAAAAUAUGAGCAUGCAUUUAUAUUUACAGUUUAUUGGUACCUAUAGAUUUCAGAGAGUUUUGUGGAUUGUUCUUUCAGUGUGCAUGUAGUUAAUAAUAAUGUUAAAAGUUGUGCAUUGAACUAUCAGAAGAUUAAUCUGUUAAAACUGAUCACUCAGUCAAUGGAAUAAUGAUAAAAAGAAAAAAAAUCAAUAAAAGUUGAUAGGGCUUGAGAGUUUCAGGUGAAUAUAGAUUUUUUUUUAAACUAGAGAAAUACUAUUAUGUAUUUCAUAUACUAAAAAUUAUUACUUGAAAGAGAAAAAAAAAUCUAUAUUUAUAAUUGUGAUAAUGCAUUGUCUAGCAUAGCUGUUAAAUCUCUAUAAAUUGCUGUAUCCAUAAUGUUUGCUUUUAAAUUUCUUUCAUUAUACACACUGUAAAGUGGUUGGUAUAAGGAAGGGCACCCAGCCAUAGGACUCAUGCCAAAGAUAAUAUUGGUGCUUGAUGUAGUCCUGUGGUUUGCUAGAUCCUGUAAAACCACCCAGCCCAUGCUGGCAUGAAAAAUGGAUGUUAAAUGAUGAUGAUCAUAUAGAGACUGCUUUUGUUAUUUCCUUGUUUCUUCUGCUAUUAGAAAAAUAAUAUAGAAACUUGUGCAGUGAAAGAAUAAAGUUAUGUUAUGACAGAAAGGUACUUGCCUUAAAAUAUUACGUUUUCAAUUUCCACAUAUGAUGACAUGCAAGAGUAAAAUGUUUUUAAUUUCUUUAUACUUUUUUAAGUUAACAUGUUCAAACAAAGAAUUAAUAUUUUAUUGGACUAAGGACUCAGGAUUAUAGGUUCAAAACAAGUAACUGAAAAACAAGGCAAAAUAUAAACAAAUCAAAUUUGCAAUUACAUUUGUGGCAUAAAUUUCAUGCCGAAACUAAAUGUGUCUAUUUUGAAAUUUCAUAUAUGGUAAUAUUGAUGAACAUUUCCAAAACUGUUUUGGUGAAAUUGCCAUCAUAAUAAUUAACUUCUGCAAAACAGUAACCACUAUAUGAAUUCCAAUAUUAUUGCACAAGAUUGUUUUACUAAUCUCAGGAAUAUACCUGUUAUGUUAUGUUAUUACAUAUAGGAUUUUAUUUGCAUUUGUACCAUUAAUAUUUUCAUAGCUAUUGUCUUUUUCAAACCCUUGCCAUUAUGAAAAAAGUAAUUUGUUAUAAUUUUGCUUUUAUGUUAACACUGAAAUUUGUAAAUCAUUUUACCCUAUUUUUUUUCAAGAACAAAACAAAAACAACAAAAAUAAAACUAGUUAUUGUACAUAACUGUUCAGACGAUAUAUAAAUAUUUAUUAUAAAUUUUAUUUGGCAAUGGAGGAGUAAAUAUUCAAAUAUUUUCCUGUGAUUUGGACCAGUGAAAUGCAAUGGAGCAAUUUAUGGGACCAUAAUAAAAAAGUUCUUGUUAUGAGUUGUUUUUCAUGUAGCUGUUCUUGAAUAAUGAGAAGUUUCAUAAGAACAGGUACAACUGUUAACUUUUAUAUCUUUUAUCUCUUAACUAUUUUUUGUUAAGUAACUGCUACAUCUUUGCUAUUGGAUGGUUGUGAAGCUUUAUUGUAUAAAGGUAUCAGCAGAUAUCAUCAAAAGCCUUAAGGUGAUAUUUGAAAUUUUAAUAAUGUAUUGAUGAUAGUAGUAUAUUAAUAAAAUAAAAUAAGAUAUAUUCUCUUUAA